UAAAUCAUAGAGGAGCAAAUCCAGAAAACUAGACAACAAGAAUUGUGAAGAUAAAAAAAGUAACGAAAAUAAUUUGCAUUCAAAGUAGAGAUACCAAAAUAAACCCGAGGCUUGAUACUAAUCAAAUGUUAUUGUUUCAAAACAACGUCAUUUUUCAAUUAACAUGUAUCAAAGUCAGAAGCAAAUCAAACCUCACAAUCAAAAGACCAGAAAAAAACGAAUCAUAAUACAAAACAGGAAGAUCAAACAAGAGAAAGAAAAUUAUUAUCGUCCCUGCAACACCAGAGGAAAUAAAAUAUCAAGAAAAGAUAUGCUUUAAAAAGAAAUAUACAAACCAAAACUUGUGGCUCCAUGCCUGAUGAAAGAAGAUCAUUAUUUUGACAAUCCACACUGCAGAAAAACAGGUUCACAAUUCAAUUUGUGUCUUACGAUCAAAAACAAAAAUAAUAAAGAACGGUGGAGAUGUGACUCAUCCUUUCGACGCUGGCUCGUUGUUACUCUCGGCGCUUCCUUAACUCCCCAACAAGUAG
Molecule: long non-coding RNA, 530 nt
Filed under: Trifolium pratense (red clover)
Lineage: Eukaryota; Viridiplantae; Streptophyta; Magnoliopsida; Fabales; Fabaceae
Description: long non-coding RNA (TPRA_LNC008595)
Source: RNAcentral